RNAcentral lists this ribosomal RNA (363 nucleotides) under Diderma tigrinum. RNAcentral's name for it is "Lepidoderma tigrinum partial small subunit ribosomal RNA". It matches the Rfam family "Bacterial small subunit ribosomal RNA", at positions 586 to 930 of the family's 1533-position model. The record is from RNAcentral. Lineage: Eukaryota; Evosea; Eumycetozoa; Physariida; Didymiaceae.
AAAAUAUAGUCAAAGACUGAGGAUGGCCCUCUUUAAUCUAUAUUUACUGAUCAUUUGAGUUCUAAAGGCGAGCUAUUGAAUUCCUUAAGUAAGGGUUAAAUUGUUGAUAUUGGAAGACAUUCGAAAGCGAAAGCAUUUCUCGAUUUAGAUCUGACGCUAGGUACUAAAGUAUGGGUAUUAAAAGGAUUAGAGACCUUGUAGUCCAUACCUUAAACUAUGAGUGUUAACGUCCUCUUGCAAGGCGACUCUACUUCGUUAGACGAGUCAGGUGCAUGAGGGGGUUUAAAGCUAACGCGUGAAACACCGCCUGGGGAAUGUGGCCGCAAGGUUAAACUCAAAGGAAUUGAGGAGGCUUGUACAAGG